ACUUCCUUGGCAGAAUAGUGCGUUAAAUUUAGAAUUUAGAAUAUGUAAAUAGAUUAUAGGUAGUA
This 65-nucleotide transfer RNA is filed under the name Andrena hunanensis. Its description in RNAcentral is "tRNA-Leu". RNAcentral also lists the same sequence under 1 other name. The record is from RNAcentral. Lineage: Eukaryota; Metazoa; Arthropoda; Insecta; Hymenoptera; Andrenidae.